This 545-nucleotide ribosomal RNA is filed under the name uncultured archaeon. Its description in RNAcentral is "bacterial SSU rRNA". It matches the Rfam family "Bacterial small subunit ribosomal RNA", at positions 513 to 1050 of the family's 1533-position model. The record is from RNAcentral.
AGCCGCGGUAAGACGGGAGGGGCAAGCGUUACCCGGAUUUAUUGGGUGUAAAGGGUCCGUAGGUGGUCAGGUAUGUCCAUUUUGAAAGCCUCUGGCUCAACCAGAGAGGUGGAGUGGAAACUGCCUGACUUGAGGCCAGGCGAGGAAAGCGGAACUGCCGGUGUAGCGGUGGAAUGCGUAGAUAUCGGCGGGAACACCAUUGGCGAAGGCGGCUUUCUAUCCUGGUUCUGACACUGAGGGACGAAAGCGUGGGGAGCAAUCGGGUUUAGAUACCCCGGUAGUCCACGCUGUAAACGAUGGGUGCUGGGUGUUGGUCCGGUUUCCGGAUUGGCGCCGAAGCUAACGCGUUAAGCACCCCACCUGGGGACUACGGUCGCAAGGCUGAAACCCAAAGGAAUUGACGGGGGCCCGCACAACCAGUGGAGCAUGUGGUUUAAUUCGAUGAUACGCGAGGAACCUUACCUAGGCUUGACAUACCGAUAGUACUGCCCCGAAAGGGAAGGGAUCCGUAGCAAUACGGAAGUCGGUACAGGAGGUGCAUGGCC